RNAcentral lists this small RNA (142 nucleotides) under Lachnotalea glycerini. Its description in RNAcentral is "Clostridiales-1 RNA". It matches the Rfam family "Clostridiales-1 RNA". The record is from Rfam by way of RNAcentral. Lineage: Bacteria; Bacillati; Bacillota; Clostridia; Lachnospirales; Lachnospiraceae.
UGAUACGAGGGUCAAAAAGUCAUAGUUUCUUGCAUGAAAAAACAUAACUUGGGAACCCAUAAAACAUUAAGUAGCCCGAGCAGGGCGGAUUUUGAAUGUUUUUAGGAUUGUGGCAGCAGUGCGUAACAAUACGUAGGUAUCU